CCCUUAGAUGUUCUGGGCCGCACGCGCGCUACACUGAUGCAUUCAACGAGUCUAAAACCUGCUCUGAUAGGGGUGGGUAAUCUUUUGAAUGUGCAUCGUGAUUGGGAUAGAUGAUUGCAAUUUUUCAUCUUCAACGAGGAAUGCCUAGUAAACGCAAGUCAUCAGCUUGCAUUGAUUACGUCCCUGCCCUUUGUACACACCGCCCGUCGCUCCUACCGAUUGAAUGAUCCGAUGAAUAUCAUGGAUUGAGGAUGCAAGUAGGUUAGCCUAUCUUCAUCUUCGAGAAGUGAAGUAAAUCUUAUCAUUGAGAGGAAGGAGAAGGCGUAACA
RNAcentral lists this ribosomal RNA (329 nucleotides) under uncultured eukaryote. RNAcentral describes it as "partial 18S ribosomal RNA". It matches the Rfam family "Eukaryotic small subunit ribosomal RNA", at positions 1470 to 1796 of the family's 1831-position model. The record is from RNAcentral.